This 664-nucleotide ribosomal RNA is filed under the name Zygosaccharomyces rouxii. RNAcentral describes it as "SSU rRNA". It matches the Rfam family "Eukaryotic small subunit ribosomal RNA", at positions 426 to 1094 of the family's 1831-position model. The record is from RNAcentral. Lineage: Eukaryota; Fungi; Ascomycota; Saccharomycetes; Saccharomycetales; Saccharomycetaceae.
CAGCAGGCGCGCAAAUUACCCAAUCCUGACACAGGGAGGUAGUGACAAUAAAUAACGAUACAGGGCCCUUACGGGUCUUGUAAUUGGAAUGAGUACAAUGUAAAUACCUUAACGAGGAACAAUUGGAGGGCAAGUCUGGUGCCAGCAGCCGCGGUAAUUCCAGCUCCAAUAGCGUAUAUUAAAGUUGUUGCAGUUAAAAAGCUCGUAGUUGAACUUUGGGCCUGGUCGGCCGGUCCGGAUUUUUCCGCGUACUGGUUUUUCCGACCGGGCCUUUCCUUCUGGCUAGCCCUGGGUCCUUGUGGCCCUUGGUGAACCAGGACUUUUACUUUGAAAAAAUUAGAGUGUUCAAAGCAGGCGUAUUGCUCGAAUAUAUUAGCAUGGAAUAAUAGAAUAGGACGUUUGGUUCUAUUUUGUUGGUUUCUAGGACCAUCGUAAUGAUUAAUAGGGACGGUCGGGGGCAUCAGUAUUCAGUUGUCAGAGGUGAAAUUCUUGGAUUUACUGAAGACUAACUACUGCGAAAGCAUUUGCCAAGGACGUUUUCAUUAAUCAAGAACGAAAGUUAGGGGAUCGAAGAUGAUCAGAUACCGUCGUAGUCUUAACCAUAAACUAUGCCGACUAGGGAUCGGGUGGUGUUUUUUUACUGACCCACUCGGCACCUUACGAG